Long non-coding RNA from Capsicum annuum, 811 nucleotides. RefSeq lists it as uncharacterized. The transcript has 2 exons. The record is from RefSeq and is a predicted model, not a curated record. Lineage: Eukaryota; Viridiplantae; Streptophyta; Magnoliopsida; Solanales; Solanaceae.
UUUAAACUUAUUCAAGACCACAUUCUUUGGGGAUAAAUAUUUAAGACCCGAUAUUUGAAGAACAAAAAUUCAAAAUAAACACUUUGACGGACACUAGAUGAAAUUUCCACCAAUUUGUAUAAGAGAGAACAGCUUUGGGCUCUAUUACUUAAGGCCCAAAAAAACAUUACUAUUACACAUUUCAGAGUUUGACGCCUCAUUUCCUUUGUAUUAUCGGCAGCUCAGGAUGAGCUUGUUAGACCAACUGAAGUUAUACCAAUAAGGCUCCCCUUUGCUCUUGACUGUCUUAAACAUCUCGACAUAUCUUGGAUUAAUCUGGGAGAGUUCUUUGAUCUUGGAGAGUUCUUUGAUCUUUCAUUUGCUCUUUGCUUGAUAAGAGGCUCCCAAAUUUAGAAGAAGUUGAAUUUAAGGUUGUUAAUGAUGUUAAUUUUUCUUUCUUUAUAUGAGUUUUUGAUGUUCAAAUUUUAAUUCAAGCUGAUGGUUUUUCUUGAACUUUUUUUAGAUGUAUUUUAUUAGUGAUUUGUGUUGUAAUGAGCCUGUGCCGUGGGAUGCUGUUGAUGAGAUUCCUGCAAGCUUCUCAGAUAUGACAUUUAAUCACCUAUGUAUGGCAGGAACUUUAGUGCACCAGACUGUCCUUUUUUAUACAAGUUGAUGUCUUUCUUUCAAUUUGAUCUAAUUUUGUAAAGCUCAUAAAAAAAUAUUGCUGAAGGGGGUUAUUAUUCCUAUUCAAAAGGUGUAGGAGGUAAUGUCUCUCGAUCGUUAAAAGGUUAAGUAAAAGACAAUACAUAAAGGUGUCUUUAAUUUGGUCUCA